Molecule: long non-coding RNA, 815 nt
Filed under: Cricetulus griseus (Chinese hamster)
Lineage: Eukaryota; Metazoa; Chordata; Mammalia; Rodentia; Cricetidae
Description: lncRNA (ENSCGRG00015043425.1)
Source: RNAcentral
CUGUGAAAUGGCCACCAAGACGGACGCAUCAGCAAUCCCGUGAGAUGAGAGAGAUGAGACGUCUAUGAUGUCUUAGAAGCAACAUCUGAAUCACUCAGGAUGUUCCAAAAGAAAGAUGGCCACAAAGAAGAGCAAGGGAAUAGACCGUGUGGCCAGGUGCUUGAGCCUUUGUCUAUUUCUCUGUAUUUUCCUACCCCCACCCCCCAGUACUAGAGUGUGCAGCAGCAGCAUACUGAACGUUAUCUUUGAUUACCUUUGAGCCAUACUGCAGAGCUAGAAUCAAGAAGGAGCCAUCUUGCUUUAGCAGUUUCCAUGUCCUCAGUCAACACCCUGGAUUUCCAGUCAAGGGUUCCUGCAGCUGAUCUGUGGCUGACUUGGGUUCAAGACUGCUUUGCCUAGAAUGGACAUUGCCUGGCAGACUCAGUGAACCCCACCCUGCUUCCAUCAAGACCCUGGGGCUCCCAGUCCCCGAGGUGGAAGAGCUCCUUGUUUGCUGGAUGCUGAAAGACAAGGCUGGUCUAGAUGGAUAGUGUUGCGCUGUCAGUGGAAGCAAGCGGGAGUUUCUCAGUGCUGCGCGUUCUUUUGCACAGAGGAUGUAGCAAUGAGAAAAGCUACUCUGUUUAAAUAUGCAUGGAUGUGAGGGAAGGCCAAUGCACAGCUCAAACAUACCAGGUAUAGAGUUGGCCAAGAUCCACAACUCUAAGGUGGUUUUUCUGCUCUUGCCUCUUGCAGUGCUGGUAAUGGAGCCCCAGGUACUGUCCCUAAUCUGUGUAAGAUGUGACUUAUACCUCUGUUCCAGAUAAAUUUGAUGUAUG